GGUGCCUUGGCGCAAUGGUAGCGCGUUGGUUUUCGGUUUGAAAGCAGUAUCACCAAAGGUUGAGGGUUCGAGCCCCUUGGGCAUCG
Non-coding RNA from Paraphoma chrysanthemicola, 86 nucleotides. NCBI's taxonomy places the organism in Eukaryota, Fungi, Ascomycota, Dothideomycetes, Pleosporales, Phaeosphaeriaceae. The record is from the annotation of a GenBank genome assembly.